CUCAGUUGCUCUGUUAAACAGCAAAAUUCCCAAGUCCUCAUCUCAAUGAGCCACUGAGGCCGAUGAAGAGGGCCUGUCUCAUUUAGGACAUGAGUGGCCAGGCGGGUGCCACAGGCCCUUUUCCUGGUGACAACAAAGCCAUUGCAUGGCUCCAGGAAGGCCACAUCAUUUCCUGGGUUUCGUAGGCGCCUGCGGGGCGGAAACAGUUCAGCAGGGCCCUCCUGAUCACAAGGACGAGGUCAUACCGGCUGCUGCAUGGCAGGGCUGCACUCUGCCAGGGAGCGUCCUGUGAUGGAGGGGCUGCACUGCCACUUUACUGAUGAGGAAAUUAAGGUUCAGAGAGAUGAGGUCAUUUCUUAGAGGCCAGACAGCCUCCUCAGCCCAUUUAUAAGGUUGUUUCUGUGGUAUUUGCCAUAAAGCCAUAGGUUCAUUGAUUUGUUCUUAAGUAGUUCUGAGCCCUUCCUGCAUAUCAGGCAGGGACAAACAGGAAAGUCCCUGCCUUUGGCAAGUGCGGGGGAAAUGAAAUGAUUCUGCUUAGCCGCAUCCAUUGGUCUGAACAAUCACGUCUCAUGACCGCAGGGACGCGGCUUCCCCUGAAUGCGGAUCCUAGAGGCCAGGCAGAAGCAGCAUGGGUUUCCACUCACACGGUUGACUCACAGUUUGGAGCAAGAAUUAAAGAACCACGAACUUCAAGGUAAAACGGGCAACGGCGUUGGGGCAAGCCUCUCUGCACCUGCGUGUCCAGCCUCUCCUGCAUGCCAGAAGUCCCCAGGCAGGAGUGUGGUGGGACAUCCGGCUGGGGUAAGGACAGGCACCCUCCCACAGUGUCAGGGCCCAGAGAGUGGGUGGAGAAGCUCUGCAAGAGACCUGUGCAAGGGCGCCUUGUAGGAGCCUGCAGUCCCCACAGGUGUGUUUGUGGAUAACACUUGGGGAGCCCUGGCCUUUUGGGGUCAUGGAGGGCUUGGCCUCUCACCUCAGAGCUGCGGAGGAGCCGCUUCUACAUCAGGACAUCAGAAGCUGGAACAGGAUGACCGGCAAGGGGCCUCUGGUUGGGGUCACAGAGAUGGGUCGCAGAGAUGGCCCGUGUGGAAGUCUGGAUGAAGUGCUUCAUGCCUGUAAUCCAAGCACUUUGAGAGGCUGAGGCGGGUGGAUGGCUUGAGCCCAGGAGUUUGAGACCAGCAUGGAAAACAUAGAGAAACCCCGUCUCAAUAUAAGAAGAAGAAGAAAAAGAAAAAAAAAAAUCAAAAACGAAAACAACACAAAUUUUAGGGUAAGUAUUUUAAGUUCCACAAAAACCUGGUUAGGAUUUGGAUAGCAAUUUCUUUAGUUCUACAAAUCAAUUUGGAAAAAAUUAAUUAAUUUGGGAAGAAUUCAUUUUGAGUCUUCUAAUCCAUGAACAUGGUAUCUCCAUUUGUUUAGACCAUCUUUAAUGCCUACUAAUAACAUUUCUGUAUAGUGACCUUGCACAUUAUUCUUAGAUUCUUGAUAUUUUGUGCUAUUAUGUCUUUUUAUAAAUUUUAUUUUUCCAACAUUGUUGCUAAUAUAUAGUAAGAAAAUGGAAUCUUGCCUAUGGAUUUUGAACCCAACAACUUUGCUAAACUCCUCUGAAUCCUCAGAAUUUCCUUGUGGAUUAUGUAGGCUCUUCUGCAUACACAACCAUAUCAUUUGUGAAUAAAGACAGUUUUGCUUUCUUCUUCACAAACUACCCGACUCACUGUGCAGUCUGCCACAUCCAGGCUGAUAUUGAAUAGCAGUGGCACUAAUAGGAUUCUUUGUCCCCUUGCCAAUCUUGUAAAGAAAGCUUUCAACAUUUUCCUGUUAGCUCUGUUGGCAGCUCUGACUUUUUCCAUAGAUGGCCUUCAUCAGCUUAACAAUGGGUCUUUUCUUCCCAGAGGGCUGAGCUUUUCCUUAAGAACAGACAGUGAGUGUCAUCAAACACUAGGCUGCAUCUGUUGAGAUGGUCAUACGACUUGUGUCUUUUCCUGUGUUUGUGUGUGAACUCUCUGGGUGUCUGAGAGUUCUUGUGACUUUCACAGAAGAACACAAUUUACCUUCCGGUGUGGGAAGGGGAAGGAGGCAGAGGAAGAAAGACCCCCAAGUCCCCCUCAUCCCCACUGACCUUCCUGCUGGCUUCGUCCUUGAUCUGUGCCUCCUUAGAUGCUGUGUUUGAGUACUUGCAGUCAUGAUGACAGGGCCAACCUCCUGACCAGGGCUGUUAGCACCUCCCCUGUUGCCCAGAGCCCCUGCUCCAAACCACUUCCUUCAUCUUCUGUACCCCCAGCCAAUAUUUCCCUGCCCAGUGUCAACCCAGGCCCAGAACCAGACCACAAGGGACAGCCCCGGAACCCAGAAUCAGACAAAUCAGCCCGUCCCAAGCUGUCUCCCCUGCUCUGCCCGGCUUUCACAGGGAAGCCAACACAGGCUGUGGCUUGGCCUUUCCCUAGCUCCUUUCUGCCUCCUGCUCUGCCUGCGGCUUCCCCCUGCCGCCCUGCGGGGCCUGCCACGUCUCUCAUUUCUAGCGAAUGUUUCAAGAGCGAUGUUAGACUUUCCUUUCAAUAGCGUUGACCUCUGUUAGGCACCUUUAUGGAUUAAGACCUGGGCAUAGAUGGUUUCUUCGGCAUCACGACCUGAAGGUGCUUGGGAGAGACGGUGAGGAGGAGAAUGCACCCUGCCAUGCUCUGCACCGCACAUGGAUGCGGAUUUCACCAUGUUGGCCAGGCUGGUCUGAAACACACGGAGCCCAAGCGCCCGGUGGACCCUCUGACGGUCCUCGGGCAUGUGCCUUUGUAAGCAGAGUAUUCAGCUCUCAUCAGGGCCUCGCCAGAGCAGAAAUGGUCUGUUGAUAAAUGCAUCGUAUACAAUUACAAAUGUGCACCCAGCAUUGCUGCUUCCUCUUUUUUUUUGAUAUAGGGACUUGCUCUGUCGCCCAGGCUGCAGUGCAGUAGGGCAGUCACAGCUCACUGCAGCCUCAACCUCCCAGGCUCAAGCAAUCCUUCCGCCUCAGCCUCCUAAUUAGCUGGAACUACACAUCCAGCUAUUUUUUUUUUUCUUGUAGACACAGGAUCUCACCAUGUUGGCUAGGCUGGUCUUAAACUCCUGGGCUCAAGUGAUCCGCCCACCUUGGGCUCCCAAAGUACUGGCAUUACAGGUGAUGUAAAAUUCUCAAACAAUGAGAUAGAUAAAAAGUACGCAGCCAAAAAGUUCAAGAAGAAGUGUUAUGGAGAUGGAGCAGGCCCUUCGUAAAAACACGAUGUUGGUUUUCUGGAUUUUGUAUGUUUGCUUUUUUUUUUUCCUCAUCCUAAAGAAAUAUUCACUGUCAUACCUAAUU
This 3328-nucleotide long non-coding RNA is filed under the name Homo sapiens (human). RNAcentral describes it as "HSALNT0149223". The record is from RNAcentral. Lineage: Eukaryota; Metazoa; Chordata; Mammalia; Primates; Hominidae.